AUGUGGUGCAAGCGGAAAUGCGCUCGCCUGGCAUGCGCAGGGUGCUGGGUUCGAUCCUCAGCACCACAUA
Molecule: transfer RNA, 70 nt
Filed under: Marmota monax (woodchuck)
Lineage: Eukaryota; Metazoa; Chordata; Mammalia; Rodentia; Sciuridae
Description: tRNA.Ala
Source: RNAcentral